CCCUCACGGCUCCCGCUAGCGCCGGCCCUGUCGAGCCCCGCGGCAGAGCGGGCUGUGCGAACCCUCACGGCUCCCGCUAGCGCCGGCCCUGUCGAGCCCCGCGGCAGAGCGGGCUGUGCGAACCCUCACGGCUCUCGCUAGCGCCGGCCCGUGCCAUGACCCGCAGCCCGCCACGUCCUGGCCAAGGCUACUGCCCGCGCACCUUCCGGUGACAGAGCUAAAGACAAGACUUCGCUCGCAGGCUCGGGUCAGCCUCGGCACCCGCUCGGUGGGCAGCACCCGCUCGGUGGGCAGCACCCGCUCGGUGGGCAGCGCCCGCGUCCCGCUUCCCCCGUCCUCACUGGCGGCAUGAAACAAACCGCCGGUCCAGCCGGGAUCUAGGAAGGCAGAGGAUAUACUUCAGCAUUGAUUCUUGAAGCUGAAGGCGUGAAUGAUUUUCGGAGUGAUCAACCUAAAUGCAACAAGGCGACCGCAGUACACAAAUGCCGUAAAUAAAACUGCUGUGCCCAGCACCAGGAACUUUCCGGCAAAAAUGAAGAAGGAAGCGGGCUUCGCCAUUGUGCAACUCAGGGACCCCCACAGGUGCAGGACGCUGCCUGGCUCGAAUCCCGUUACCGUGCUCGUCGCCGGUGCCCCACGGAUCCUCCCCGAGUUAGCACCUGAGCACAGGCACGCAGACGAGGAGGGCAAUCUCUUCCCACUUGCCUAGCUCCGCUCCCCUGUCGCCUUAGUGUUUGAAUCGCUGUCAAGCGACAGUAGNNNNNNNNNNNNNNNNNNNNGGGGGGGGGGGGAACGGGACGGGGGGACGACACCUCUCGCCUACCCCUUCCAUAUUUAACCAUUACCUAAAUCCGAAGGGAAAUGAGCAAACCUCUAGGCUUGGGUCUUAAGGUAUUUUCAGCGCCGUUGGGCGUAUUUAUCCCAGAAGAGUUUUCCACAACAAGUUAUUUCUAGUCUAGGAGAGGUCUCCGUCGCCCAGGGCCCGGCCUUAGCCCCGAUUACGACGCCACGCACGGCCCGAUGGUGGCGGGAGGUGUGUUCCCCCCGCCGCCGGGCCAAAGCGGGGGAUGCGGAGCGGAGCGGGCUCGGCAGGGCGAGCGCCGGCUGCCCCAGCCCCUGCCCUCUGCCCGCCCGAGUCAAUCUGUGUUUUGAAUCUGUGACUUGUUCUCGUUGCGGAAGUCAAAGGGGAUCCAAGAAUAGUUCAGAUAGAUGUGUGUAAUUUCUAGAGCAGAACCCCGAGAGAAACGAAACGCCCGAUUCCAGAAUGACGCUUCGAUGUCCCUUCAGCGAGACCUGUGAGGUGGAAUGCGGUAAGACGUUUUCAUUUAAGGAAAACUGAGAGAGAAACAGAGGCGGGGAACACUACUGAUUUGUGAGGCUUUGGCGCUUUUUUUUUCUUUUUCUUUUUCUUUUUUUCUUUUUUUUUUUUUUUUUUUUUUUUUUUUUUUUUUUUUUUUUUUUUUUUUUCUUUUGCAGAAGCUCCUAACUAACGCUCAGGAAGUGGAAUUUGUGGUUUAGGGGGCCGAGCUCUGAAGGAGUUGAGAGAGACAGAAAAGUUAAAAAAAAAAAAAAAGCCAACUCAAGCACCAUUGCUCCUUAAAGGGAGGCUAAAUUUAAAGUCACACAAACUAGCAGGCUGCCGCGCAUACCCCGUCCGCAUCCCAGCUUCUUUCGGCCCUAUAAAUGGGUAAGCAUUCUCGCUUCUCUCG
Molecule: long non-coding RNA, 1709 nt
Organism: Cyanistes caeruleus (blue tit)
Lineage: Eukaryota; Metazoa; Chordata; Aves; Passeriformes; Paridae
Source: Ensembl